This 253-nucleotide ribosomal RNA is filed under the name uncultured bacterium. RNAcentral describes it as "partial 16S ribosomal RNA". It matches the Rfam family "Bacterial small subunit ribosomal RNA", at positions 524 to 776 of the family's 1533-position model. The record is from RNAcentral.
UACGUAGGGGGCAAGCGUUGUCCGGAAUCAUUGGGCGUAAAGAGCGCGUAGGCGGCCCUGUAAGUCCGCUGUGAAAGUCAAGGGCUCAACCCUUGGAUGCCGGUGGAUACUGCAGGGCUAGAGUCCGGAAGAGGCGAGUGGAAUUCCUGGUGUAGCGGUGAAAUGCGCAGAUAUCAGGAGGAAUACCGGUGGCGAAGGCGGCAUCCUGGACCAUAACUGACGCUGAGGCGCGAAAGCUAGGGGAGCAAACGGG